This 305-nucleotide unclassified non-coding RNA is filed under the name uncultured Mycena. RNAcentral's name for it is "partial contains 5.8S ribosomal RNA, internal transcribed spacer 2, and large subunit ribosomal RNA". The stretch from base 1 to 52 matches the Rfam family "5.8S ribosomal RNA", at positions 103 to 154 of the family's 154-position model. The record is from RNAcentral. Lineage: Eukaryota; Fungi; Basidiomycota; Agaricomycetes; Agaricales; Tricholomataceae.
AACGCACCUUGCGCCCUUUGGUAUUCCGAAGGGCAUGCCUGUUUGAGUGUCAUUAAAUUAUCAACCUUGCUCACUUUUACUAGCUUGAGUUUGGCUUGGAUGUGAGGGUUUUGCUGGCUUCCUUCAGUGGAUGGUCUGCUCCCUUUAAAUGCAUUAGUGGGAUCUCUUGUGGACCGUCACUUGGUGUGAUAAUUAUCUAUGCCUUGAGACUUUGAAGCAAACUAAUGGGAACCUGCUCAUAACCGUCUUCGGACAAUCUCUGACAUUUUGACCUCAAAUCAGGUAGGACUACCCGCUGAACUUAA